This is a long non-coding RNA of Arachis stenosperma, 2440 nucleotides long. RefSeq lists it as uncharacterized. The record is from RefSeq and is a predicted model, not a curated record. The transcript has 3 exons. NCBI's taxonomy places the organism in Eukaryota, Viridiplantae, Streptophyta, Magnoliopsida, Fabales, Fabaceae.
UCUCAUUCUUCUCUUCUCCCAAAUUUGAACCCUAGCAGAGAGCAUACUACCCUAGCCAGUAGCCACCGACGUGCCAGAAGCUCCUCAUUGACCAUGGCGGUUCAUGGUAGUGGCCAACAGUCCCUCAUUCAUGGCGGCAACAAGCAACCCCAAGCCUUCUCCCCACACCACCAUCUUUGAUUUUUGCCCGGCUAUCACUGUUUGUUACUUCCAUCGUCAGACGUCUUCUCCGCCAUCGUUAGUGAUCUUUUCUACCAUCUUCAGUCCUUUUCUCCACGGUUUGCAGGAAAGAAGCUCUCUCUUAUUGACUCCGCCGCUGCCAGCGGCGCUCAUUGUCACUCCAACGAACCCCACAACAGCUCUUAGGCUCUGCACCACCGUUUUCCACCGACUCUUCCACGAUGUCGUUAUUGCCGCCAACAUUGCUUUCGGAGUUCGAUUGAAGAUGGUUUGAAAGGGUAAAGUAGUAAGAGGUGAGCAUUUACAAAUUUUGAUGUUUGGUGAAACAGGACCUACAGUUCUCUCAUCAUGGUCGCGCAUGACCAUUAAUUGAAGCUCAAACACAACUAAAGCACAAGAAGGUAAACUGAAACUAGACCCCAUUAUGAUUCAUCAAUAUUAUUAGAUCAAAGCUUAUAGUAGCAAUUGCAACUAUGUAUCUUGUGCUUAUUUUGAUUGCAUAAGAAUUAGAAACCAAGUGUGAAGAAUUUAUUGUUCAUUUGUCAAAGAAAUUAUAAUGUAUAAAGUUUAGGAACAAUAAGAUUAUAGCUUUAGGUUUUAUACUAUAAAUACAGUUUUUAAAUUAGCUAUUAAAAGAUUGGAGGCAUUGGAGGAUGCCAUUGAAAGCAUCGAAAUUGUCUUGACAACUUAUUUAGGAGAUUGGUAAAAAGUAAAAAUCAAAGUGUCUCUUUUAAACAUUAUGACUCAAUAAAGCCUACUUACUCAUUCUUAUCUCGCUAAAUCCUACAAAAACAUUCAAAAUUUAAGAGAUCUCUUGAGGGUUAAAAGAAUUGAUCUCUUUGAUAUGUGCAUUUUUAAUCAAGUUGGGUGUUGUUUGAAACAAUGGCUUUGACAUGUGUCAUUCAAUUUUAAGCAUUAAAAAUAUAUUCCUUCCAAUUCUAAGUAGAGUAGCUUAAAGUGAUAGAAACGAAUGAACAAAGAUUCCUGCUACUUGCUUUUAUCUUAUUUCUAUAUUAGAUUAGAAUAUGGAAUGAUCAGCUUUUUUUAAUCAUGUGAAAAAUCUGCAAACUAAUUUAGCAAAUAACUGGGAAGAAUGACUGUAUUGUGCUCAUCUAUGAUGGAAACCUGGCGUAAACCCCUCUAAAUUGCUACUACAAGUUACUUUUUUGAGUGAUGAUUUCUUUUGCUAAAUUAAAAUCAUAUCAACUUUCUCCAAUGGUAUGGUUGCUUGACUAUCCUGCUCUUUCUUAAGUGCAAACUCGGGAAGAGACAAUUUCAUCCAAAUUUUUGAAAGAAAGAUGGAGGAAAAGCGCAAACAAUUAAGACAAAAUGGUAAGAAUCUCAUUGAGUCUUUUCUAUAAACCAAGUGUAGCGAUAACAGCCUACUUCUGAUAUAUCUGACUGGUUCUCCGAGGAUUUAUCUGCUUUCUAAUCUUGAUACUAAUCAUCAUUGUGCUUCCUUUUUUUUCUUGUGCUGUUCUAAGGUCGCGAGCUAACUGUUUCUUGGGCUCUUUGUGCUGUUUGUCUUGUUGGCCAUCUCUCUCAUUUCUUUGCAGCUAGGGCACUGUGGAUUCAUGCAUUCAUUUUGUUGGAUUUCAUGUGUCAUUGUCUUUGUUUACAUUGCUUGGUCCUGGUCGCCAGCUUAUCUUAGAUGGACUAAAAAGCCUUCUUAAAGGGAACACCUUAGUUGGUCUUGGGGCCUUGUCAUCAUUUACAGUCAGUUCAUUUGCUACGCUGCUACCAAAAUUGGGUUGGAAAGCUUUCUUUGAGGAACCAAUUAUGCUGAUUGCAUUUGUCUUGUUAGGAAGGAAUCUUGAGCAGAGAGCAAUAAUUAAAGCAACAAGUGAUAUGACAGGACUUCUUAGUUUACUACCAUCAAAAGCCCGCCUUCUUGUUAAUAAUGAGAAAACAGAAGUUGACGAAUUGAAUUGUAGGCAAAUUCUGGGUGAAUCAUUGAGCAACUUAAAAACCUGGAGAGUAAAUUAGAGAAAGGAAUUAGCAAGAUUUGUUCCAAAAAGAUAUUUGAAUUCUAGUUAGGAUACAUGACUUUUGAGUUAAUUUAUUGCUAAACAUCUAAAGAACUUAACAUUAAAAAAGGGGUUUAGUUUGGCUUAUGGACAAAAGAUUUCCCAUUCUUUUAUUGAUCUGUGUUUGCUUUUUUGUAAUUUGCAGAUGAGGUAAUUAGCACUCAAUUGAUGGUUUUUUGGUAAAUUUACUAAAAAUGGGUCAAGCAUUUUUCUCUAUAUUUUAGCUUGAAACA